Molecule: ribosomal RNA, 912 nt
Filed under: Streptomyces sp. MZ69
Lineage: Bacteria; Bacillati; Actinomycetota; Actinomycetes; Kitasatosporales; Streptomycetaceae
Description: bacterial SSU rRNA
Rfam family: Bacterial small subunit ribosomal RNA
Source: RNAcentral
UGCUAACACAUGCAGUCGAACGAUGAACCACUUCGGUGGGGAUGAUUGGCGAACGGGUGAGUAACACGUGGGCAAUCUGCCCUGCGCUCUGGGACAAGCCCUGGAAACGGGGUCUAAUACCGGAUACUGACCCGCUUGGGCAUCCAAGCGGUUCCAAAGCUCCGGCGGCGCACGAUGAGCCCGCGGCCUAUCAACUUGUUGGUGAGGUAAUGGCUCACCAAGGCGAACACUGGUAGCCGGCCUGAAAGGGAGACCGGCCACACUGGGACUGAAACACGGCCCAAACUCCUACGGGAGGCAGCAGUGGGGAAUAUUGCACAAUGGGCGAAAGCCUGAUGCAGCGACUCCGCGUGAGGGAUGACGGCCUUCCGGUUGUAAACCUCUUUCAGCAUGGAAGAAACGAAAGUGACGGUACCUGCAGAAGAAGCGCCGGCUAACUACGUGCCAGCAGCCGCGGUAAUACGUAGGGCGCGAGCGUUGUCCGGAAUUAUUGGGCGUAAAGAGCUCGUAGGCGGCUUGUCACGUCGGUUGUGAAAGCCCGGGGCUUAACCCCGGGUCUGCAGUCGAUACGGGCAGGCUAGAGUUCGGUAGGGGAGAUCGGAAUUCCUGGUGUAGCGGUGAAAUGCGCAGAUAUCAGGAGGAACACCGGUGGCGAAGGCGGAUCUCUGGGCCGAUACUGACGCUGAGGAGCGAAAGCGUGGGGAGCGAACAGGAUUAGAUACCCUGGUAAUCCACGCCGUAAACGGUGGGCACUACGUGUGGGCGACAUUCCACGUCGUCCGUGCCGCAUCUAACGCAUUAAGUGCCCCGCCUGGCGAGUACGGCCGCGAGGCUAAGACUCAAACGAAUUGACGGGAGCCCGCACAAUCGGCGGAGCAUGUGGCUUAAUUCGACGCAUCGCGAAUAACUUUA